CACAAAUAAUUUUUUUAAAUGAAAAGUGAAAUUUAAUGCUGAUUCUGUUCAAAUAUUAACAGUUUAAAAAAUGGCCAGUGAUCUUGUAUUUCAAGACUAAAAAUGACGAUAAACAACUAUUAUGCAUGAUUCAAAUUUAAUGAUAUAGAUUGCUGUAUAUUGGCCAAUCUUCCAUCAGAUGAAAUAAAACUGAUGCUUGAGACUGAAAGCAUCCAAAUCUGGCUCAUCUAUCAACUAAAAGUUUGACCUAGGUGUCAGCAGUAAUAAUAGCAAGUUGUAGAGAAUUGCUCUAGCCAUCCAGUCCGUGACCAAGAAUUCAAUGAAAACAAAAAACAAAAGUGGAUUUAAUAAAUUAAGAUAUUUAUUAGUCACAUUUUGAGGGAAUAGUUCUUCAUCUCACAUAGUAGAAUUGAUGUGAAUCGAGGGACCCAAAACAGGGAUCAUGGCAGAACUUAUGAUCAGGUAUAAAGAGCAACAGAUCAUCCCUUGAUUCUUAUAUCAAGUAGUAUACUAGAUAUGCUAACAACAUAUAGAUAUGGAAAGAAAAACAUAAUGAAAAUGACCCGAUGGAAUUUAUUGAUGCAUCUUUGGGCCUAUGGUUAUAAUGUGACCAGGUAUCAUUGACAAAUGUCCAUUUUUUUGAUGCUGUUUAGAUAUAUCAGGAUCUAACUAUAAGAUUACUAUGUAUAGGAAGCCAUUAUACUCUCCAGUCCUCAUUUCAGCUUGGUCCCAGGAUCUGUCUCCGUAUAAAAGCAUUCAGGCAUUUUUCAAGAGAAUCAGUACUUACUGCAAUACAGCCAAUGUGAAAUGAGAGGAAUUUGUUAAUAUAAUAACACAGGAUAUGAGACAUUUAGGUACAUGCAUAAUAUAUAUAAAUCCAUAUUAGAUAAGUUCAGGUGUGCCAUGUCACUAAAGUGUACAUUGUAGAUAACAAUGUUUGACCCCUCAAGAUGCAAUAGGGCUGUUCCAAUCACCUAUGAACCAAGCCUUAUGAGCUUUAGAACCGUAAAGAAGAAAACUAAUACAGCAGUGGCUUUUAAUCACCAAUCAGAGAGAAGGGUAUAUAAAUAGGAUUGCUAGAUUGCUGAAAAAAGAGAAUCCAAGAACAGAACCUGGAUAUGGCAUUAGGAAAUAUCACUACCACAUUAUCUAAUUUCUAUGAGGUGGAUUUAGAAGUAAAAUGGCAUGAGGUAAAGGUCCUUAAGUAUAUCACCAAUCCUAGAGAAAUGAGUACAGAUAGUCCUCAACUUGCAAUGAUUUACACUUAUGACAGCCAAAAAUUAUCACUAAAAAUUCUUCAAUUCAACUUUGCCAUCUGCAUAUACACACAGUUGAGCCUCGAUUUAACGAAUCAUGCGGGGUUG
Molecule: long non-coding RNA, 1364 nt
Filed under: Androctonus crassicauda
Lineage: Eukaryota; Metazoa; Arthropoda; Arachnida; Scorpiones; Buthidae
Source: RNAcentral